Molecule: transfer RNA, 60 nt
Filed under: Hyalella azteca
Lineage: Eukaryota; Metazoa; Arthropoda; Malacostraca; Amphipoda; Hyalellidae
Description: tRNA-Ala
Source: RNAcentral
AAGACAAUAGUUUAUGAAGAGCGGUUAGUUUGCACCUAAAAGGAACAGUUGUUUGUCUUG